Molecule: long non-coding RNA, 5565 nt
Filed under: Sus scrofa (pig)
Lineage: Eukaryota; Metazoa; Chordata; Mammalia; Artiodactyla; Suidae
Description: lncRNA (ENSSSCG00045036861.1)
Source: RNAcentral
ACGCUCCACAGUCGCGUCCAGGGCCAAAGUAAGGGCCACGUGCAACGUAAGCGUUCUUGGAUGCACCAAACACUGGACAGGAUACUUGUACUCUGACGUGGAUUCAUUACUACAAAUCUGGAGUGUUUGUUUUAUUCGCAGGGGACCGGAUGGGUUUCUUGCAGGGGACAUCUGAGCACGAUGAGUGCUCUGCAAAUACAGCCCCCCGAGGGCGUGGCGGGCUGUUUUUAGUGCCUCAUUGCAAAAACCCAUUACGUUUUCUUUCACCUAAUCAUUUCAUCGGAAUCACCAGCCCAAUUCGGGGGCUUUGGGGGCGAAUGGAACAGAACCAAAGUCUUAACAAUUAGUUACAGACUUCCCGGAGGGGAGAGUGGUGCUCCGAGCCCACACGACGACGGGGACGACCCUCGCCCCAGUGGGCUGGGGCUGCUGGGGCCGCUGGAGCCGCGCGCUUUCCCCAGCCCCAUCUCUGCGUCUCAUGCUCCGGGGGAACUAAGAACUAGCCCGCGCCCUUCGAGGGCCAGGCGGGGAGACUCUCUCUCAUCUUUUCUCCCGAGUUCCGAGGACCUGUGAGGUCUUUUUCCUCCUCCCCCCGCCCGCCCCUCCGUGCCCCGAGUCGGCUCCCACAAUCCAGCAAAAGCCUUGCUCAGCGCGGCCCCCAGCAGGCGCCACAAGUCGGAGCUCGCGCGCCCCCCACCGCGUGCCCCCUGUCGGGACCCUCGGCGGCACACGCACCCCGCUGUGGCCACGCCCCGGCCUCGUGCACGCCCCAGCGGGCCCCACCCACCACACGCACCGCCGCGGGGGGCAGCGGGAAUACCGGUAACUGGCGCCUAAACGUGAGCGCGUGGGCGUUAAACCUGAGGCAGCGCCGCUAUAGCCCCGAGCCGCACCACAAAGAGGACCGGACCGGGGGAUUGCCGCGGGCAGUAGCGCAUUUUGCCGAGGCUCAUCGACAGCCUUUUCGACAUGGAUCCCCCACCAGGGCGCAGCCACGAAGACGCUGGUUACCUGAGCUUGGGAGUCGUUGAGCUCCAGGACGAACCGCAUGGUCGGUGCCCGGACCGGGACGGGUGCUCUGGCGAAACGUCUUUUCCCUGGGAGAGGCGAGUGGGCCCGAUGCCGCUGCCGCGCGGCCACCAUCCCCACUCUUAGGUCCCGGGCUCGCGCCUCCAUCUGCCCCGCGUACCCUAGGCUCCAACGCCCCGAUCUCUCUCUUUUUCUUUUCCAGAUGUGAAGCCUACGGCGACCUCAGUAGCUGAAGCAAGAAAAGCCGUCGAGGAGGAUCCACGGUCGGAACUCGAGCAGGGAGCAGCAGCAGCAGCUGCAGGAGAACAAGUCCACGUUGGCGCAGGGGCUCUCGACCCGGUGGACGACGAGACCCAGAAGGUGGGCGGCGGCGAGGAGACCCCGCCGCAGCAGCAGGAGGAGGCGUCCGAAGCUGCCAGCGAGGAUCCGAAGCCCCAGGACCCGCAGCCACGCCUGCACCGCAGCACUUUCACUCGGCUGCAGCUGACCGAGCUGGAGAGCGUUUUCCGACGCACCCAGUACCCUGACGUGUUUGCACGGUAAGCGGCUUCCUCUGGAGGCCCCCCAUUUUCUAGGACGCUGGGGCUCCUUCCCGGACUCCUCUGGCUCUUUCUCAGGUCUCUUCCCUCCGCCCCAGAGCCAGUCCUACUUGGGGGGCUCGAGGCCCCUGGAGUCGGCCCGCCCUUGAGCUCCGAGGCGAGGGCGAUGCGGUGUAUAAGUGAUUUAAAUCAGGAAACUUUGGCCGCCCUCUUUGUUCUGUGAAUAACGUUCUAUUGGAUUGGGAUUUAGAUCAGAGUGAGGAGAGUGAGGCACUGUUGUGCGAGUGCGGGAUUGAAUCUUGCCUUUAUUUAAAAUUUUUGAUAAUUUGGUCGCCGUGGAAUUGUUUGUGUAUUUAGUCUUGAUUUUAAAAUACUUAAUUAAAAAUCCUUAAUCUUGAAUACUCAGUUCUUCAGUGCUCGCAUAAAUUUUGCAGAAAAUUCUUCCUGGAGUUCCCGUGUGGCUCAGCGGUAACGAACCCGACUAGUAUCCAUGAGGACGUGGGUUUGAUCCCUGGCCCUGCUCAUGGGUGGGGGAUCCGGGGUUGCCUCGAGCUGUGGUGUAGGCCAGGACACCUGCAGCUCGGAUUUGACCCCUAGCCUGGGAACUUCCAUAUGCGGUGGGUGUGGCCCCAAAAAGGUGAGGGAGGGGAGAAAUGUCUCCCUAAAGAAAGCCUGGAACUGGGUAUUACAGAAAUAUGUGCCCAGGCACUGGGGAGAAUAUUAAUUUUUUUUUUUUUGGCCACUGCCUUUAGCUUGUACAAGUUCCCAGGCCCAAGGAUCGACUUGAGCCUCUGCAGUGGCAAAGCCAGAUCCUUAACCCACUGUGCCACAAGAGAUCUCCAAGAGAAUAUAAAUUUCAAAACAACUAUAAAGUGUACAUUGUAUAUCUAAUUUCAUCCACAACUCCAAAUACUGAAUAUUUGUGAUUUUCUUCCCUCAGGAAGGAGGUUGCAAUAUGCAUGGAUGUGACCCAAGCCAGAGUGCAGGUCAGUGAACCCGAAAAAAACAACGAGGCAGGACAGCCACAGUAAAACCGCUUCAGGACUUGGACGCUUUUGUUCUAGACAUUCUCAAGUUGUUGUUUUUGAUGUCUUUUCCAAGUUUGGGAAAUGAGUUUUGAACUUUGGCGGCUUUGUUGAGUGGAAAAUAGGGUAAUUAAAGCCCAGUUUAUGGAAACUGCCCAUUGCUAGAAGUAGCAUGAUUCUCCUGUUAUUCUCCAAACUACUUCUCCUAUUUUCUGUGUAACAUUAAAUAUAAUAAAGUUCACCUCCUUCUAACACUGGUGUCCUUUAGGGAGCACUUCUGUGUGGAGUCACAUUGGGGCUCAAUCUGAUCUGGGAAAUAUGCACAUUAACGCACUAAGGACCUAGGUUAUGAGAGGCUUUGACUGUGUUAAAUUUUUUAAAAUACCGAAAACCAUAAGUUCUUAGCUAAAAGCAAAUUUAUAAAUAUCCGGGCAUUAGAGUAAGGGAAUAAUUCCUGCACACUAUUUAGUUAGGCUGAGACUGACAUGGGGAGAUAGCUUAAAAGUCCAAGUGCCUGGUUCUCCUGCCGUUUGUUUGUUUGUUUGUUUCAGGUCUGCAGUAAAGCAGGGUAGAAAGUGUUAGCCCUCCAUUUUAAUUUUCUGGAAUGCUUUGAUUGUCAGCCUGAAAAUAUUUCUAAAAUGGAGACAUUAAUGGUGGAGGGUGGGAGGAAAGUUUGCGAACUGAAAACUUGUCUAAAAAUUGAAACAAACAAGAACAAUUUUGAAUAAAGUGCCACUGCUAAGAAGGUGAAAAGGUUAGAGACAAAUUGCAUACAAAUAUAUACCUGGCAGAUGUUGCACAAAUUGAACUCUAUGAGGGAAUGUUCUCUUGAGUUUCUAACAUCCAAAGAUAUUUUUUGAUGGUACUAUUUUGAAGAGGUAAGUUUUGUGGAAUUUGGUAGUGGUGGUGGAGCUUUCAAUUCAGGCCAGAUUCUUAACCUGUGUUAAUUUUAAAUGCUUUUUCAUUUGCUCAGGCAGUGAAGACUAAUUUGUAGGUCAAAAGAGUACCAUUUCAGACCGUAGAAAACCAUAAAGUGUAUUAAGAGAGUAUUUGUCAAAAACAAAAUUCACAGAUGUGAGUGCAGUGAUGGAAACGGACUGCAGAUCUGGUGGUGGUGAGUUUUAGUGAACUCGGUCCCAGUUUGGCUGGAUUUUCCUCAACUCUAUAGGCGGAAAUAUCAAGGCAGUGUCUGGGGCAUCAGCAACUCUUAUGUCCUGUUAAGACAAGCCACAAACCCCUGGGCCCACAAGCCAUCUUUUUAAGAGAUGAAUGACCCUUUGAAUAUCCUCGAGGGAAACCUUUUUAAAAAUCCAACCCAAGAGUUCCCGUUGUGGUGCAGCAGAAACGAAUCCAAGUAGGAACCACGAGGUUUCAGGUUCAAUCCCUAGACUCGCUCAGAGGGUUAAGGAUCUGGCAUUGCCGUGAGCUGUGGUGUAGGUUGCAGACAAGUCUCAGAUCCUACAUUGCUAUGGUUGUGGUGUAUGCUGGCAGCUGUAGCUCUGAUUCAGCCCAUAGCCUGAGAACCUCUAUAUGCCAUGGGUGCAGCCCUAAAAAGCCAGAUAUGUGUGUGUGUGUUAUGUAUGUAUGUAUAUAUAUGUAUGUAUGUAUACACACACACACACACACAUAUAUAUGUGUGUGUAUAUAUAUUAUCUCCAGCCUGUUCCUAUUGAAUAUAUCCUUGAGACCAAAGGACUUUUACUUUGCUCAGCUUCUCCCACACCCAAGGUAACUUUCCCUAGAGGGUAGGGACCCAGGAAGCUGGACAGCUGAUGGUCUGCUGUCAAGACACAGACAUUUCUUCAUCCUGUUACCAGGCAUAGCAUUAACAACAGGGACUGGCUGCAAUUCAUCAGCUAGGCCUGGAAUCAGCCCCUGUCAUCAGCAACCAUUUUGUAGCCCCAUCACUAAAGCUUGGUCUGCAUGACAGUUUUUCCAGAGCAUUUUUCUGCCAUAUCCUUACUGUGCAUAGCACAGAACCAAGAGCACGUCACCAAAUGCCUGUUAAAUGAGCUGGAUAAGUGGAAAAAGUCAGUGCCCCCUUUUUGGGUGGAGUACAUUUUUGUACUUUUCAAUAAAGAGGUGAAUUCUGAGCUUGUUUGUUUUUGUGCAUCAAAUGAGGUUGAUUGUGAAUGGGUGGAAAUUUCUAAGGGAAUGUCAUUCAAACAGAAUGACGGUGUGCUUUCAUGAGGUGACAUCUCCUAGUCACUGCCAAUAGACUUGUGCACAUCACAGAUGUGUUCUGAGAACCCAAGGUAUGUUUACACAGACCUACGCUAUUCCUCCUCCGCCUUCCAUCACUCGGUGCUCAGCCUCACCCCUUGGGACCACAUACAUAUGCACGAUGGGCAGGAUGAGUCCUAGUGAGAGAACGGGGUGUUUCUAGGCAGGGCAGAGUCCCACCCAUGCUAGACUCUAAGGGAAGCAUCUUAAGAGGCUAUUCACAGGGAGCCAUGGGAACCUUGUGGCUGAACAUUCAUCCAGUAUGUUCCAAAUUCUGUUCCCUAUCCUCUCUAUGGGGAGGACAUUGUGGAAUAGGAGACUUCCUUCCUGGCCCACAGGUACUACUGCUUCAAAGGAGACACAAGAUGAGGCCCCACCAAGGCCAGCACCUUCCUCAAAAGCAAUCACACCUUCAAAUGUAUUUUGUCACUUUUAGCAUCGUUGAAAGAUCCUUGUUUCCUGCUGAUUCAACACUGAAAGGGAAUCCUUUGAUUUCGUGCUGCUCAAAGCAGUACUGCAGAAUAAUCACUCAUUAGGAAGAAGCAGUUGGGAGUGCCCGUCAUGGCACAGCGGAAAACAAUCCGAUUAGGAUCUAUGAGGUUGUGGGUUCGAUCCCUGGCCUCAUUCAGUGGGUUAAGGAUCCAGCAUUGCUGUGAGCUGUGGUGUAGGCUGGCAGCUACAGCUCUGAUUAGAUCCCUAGCCUAGGAACCUGCAUAUGCCUUGGGUGCGGCCCUAAAAAAAAAAAAAAA